This 2920-nucleotide long non-coding RNA is filed under the name Solanum tuberosum (potato). RNAcentral describes it as "long non-coding RNA (STUB_LNC002064)". The record is from RNAcentral. Lineage: Eukaryota; Viridiplantae; Streptophyta; Magnoliopsida; Solanales; Solanaceae.
AUUGCAGAAGGACUCCAUUCAGGAUGUGCACCUUUUAGCAUUGCUGCAAUUCCAGCUACAUGAGGGGCAGCCAUGGAUGUGCCUGAUUUAAGUUCGUAAUCACUGGAUAGUUCUAAGUUCGUCUGAAUACUUUGUGAAAAGAGAUUAGGUGGAAAUGCUGCAAGAAUCAGUACCCCUGGUGCCAUAAUAUCUGGCUUUGCGAUUCCCAAGUAGCUUCUGGAGGGCCCUCGUGCUGAGCUUCCAGCAAGAACUGGGGCAGGCCUACCAUCCACAUAAGUUUCUUGGAACGUGAUUGUAGCCGUUGGAGAAACACUGUUUUUUACGUAAUUGAUGAUUUGUUUCCCUUCCUUUUUGUCAACCACAACGCCUGGGUAGGGAAAUGAAGAAGACCUGAAAACUCCUGGAUCCUCAGAAAUAAAGAUGCCUGCUUUGAGUCUUGCUCCAAUGACAUGAGAAAUUUGACUAGAGAAACCCCAACCCUCUUCAUCUGCAUUGUAAUCACAGAUGAUGAUGGUGCGUUCGGGAUCAGAAACUUGUGAUAACAAUUCAACUGAAUCACAAGCGGCCAGAGUCUUGUUGUAAAUCACCGGAGAAUCCCUGACAAAGGCUCUUGCAGGAAAUAAGCUCCAUCCCCUAAUUCUCAACCCAUUUCCCAAAGUCAAAGUUCCUGAAAAUCUUCUGUCAGUGUGGCCUGCUGCCACACACAAGAUCCAUUGCUUAAACUUCCCACGCUUGGACCUUGAUUUCCAGCUGAUGUUGAAACUAGCACUCCCUUCAUCAUAGCUCCAAAAGAAGCGAUUGAUAUAGCAUCUUCAUAUAACGGAAUGAAACGGUAACCAAAAGAAAUGGAUAUCAUGUCAACACCGUCUGCAACAGAUUGGUCCAUAGCAGCAAUUAAAUCUGAUGUAAAAGUUCCUUCAUUGAAGCUAGACUUGUACACAGCUAUCCUAGCUCGUGGAGCAGUCCCUCUUGCUGUUCCUGGUGCAUAUCCAAAAUGGGAAAUACCUUUCGCAAAGUUCCCAGCAGCAAUGGAAGCGCAAUGUGUGCCGUGACCAUCAGUAUCCCUGGCAGAAUUCAUGGAAAUGUUCACAGUGGGAUCAUUCGCCAAAAUACCCUUUGGGGAUUUCUGGCAAACCAUCAUCUUGGAAACUCAUGGAUUCGGGUCAGAUUCCACCGUCAAGAACAGCCACGAUCACAUCUUGGCCUAAACCAGAAGCUGGCCAUAGCCCAGAUGAAGGAUUGAGCUUGAGGAAAUCAGAAGUGUAAGUAGUGUGAGGUUCCACAGUUCUGUCUUUGUAUGCUGAAAUGAAACCUGGUGACUUUUUCAAAGCUUUCAGUUCAUCUUUGGACAAAACAGCACUGAAUCCAUGAAACACAUUGUCAUAGGAAUAAACAAGUUUUGGAGCAGAGUGGAAUCUGCCUACUGAUGAAGGAAUUACAGAGGCUUUGAUGGAAUCAAUAGUGGAAGAAUGCCAAUGAUGGUGAUCAGCAAAUACAUUAGGCAUUAAGGACUUGUCAAGGUGGACAAUGUAAGUGGAUCUUUGUGCUAUAGCUAAGAAGAGAUGAGCAGAAAGGAACCAUGAAAGCAAGAUCAGAUAUGGAGAACAUGGAAACCAAAUAUUUCUAGAUUCCAUGUUCAUCACUUACUACACACUAGUGUUCUUAAGACACCAAAUAUUCAUUCAAUGCAAACUUGAGAAGCAGGAAUACACCUUUGACGAUUUGGAUUGAUCAAAGUUGUCAGGGGUAAAAAAAAUCGGCAAUGUUGGGAAUUUUUUUGGCACAAAGUAGCUCCUACUACAUACAUUAUUUAUUCCCAUAUCUUUUUGAUAGGAAAAAUACUUUUCAUUCAGUAUUUAUACAUAAUUCCCCUUAGUCUUGUAUAGUGUACUUGCAGCUCAAGAAUCUGAUGGCCUUAGUCUUCGUUACCCCAGACCUCGAUUAUGGGAGACGUUACUAUAGGACUCCUAACAGAGUGGUUACCCUUCUCUUCAACCCAAGUGAUCGACCCAAAGUUCGUACUCUGAUCACUAUCACCUAUAUAUCGAAUUGUCAAACUAUAACUUUGCUUAUCAUUUUUCCCCUUGAACACCAGAGUUCGUGGAGACACUGAAACUGUGGAAUUCUUAGGAGUUUCAAUCUUCACAUUAUAAGUUGUUCCACCUCUACCAACAUUUGUAAGGGUCCUCCUGAAUUUCUGCUCCAACCAGGUGAAGUUCCCCUCCAGGCUAUAUGGGUUCAAUGCAAUGAAUGAUGGAUAGUUGAGAUCAGCUGAUGGAUUUGAGCAGUUAUCGUAAUUGGCUGAUGAUCUUGCAAAUGUUUUGAAUUGCUCUUCUGUGAAAUUCAUAGAGCAUAUAAGAUUUAUGUAAUCUUGUGGAGUGGCAUCAUAUACAAGCCUGGGAUCAAGAGCUCUGUUUGGGUCAACAUGCCCUGCACCCAUAUCUAGGGGUGUGGCUACCCAAUUAUUAUCGUCUUUAAUAGGUUUUUUAGUACUAUCCAAAUGGUUUGCUGUGGUCAUCAUGGCGGAGCGAAUUGCAGAAGGACUCCAUUCAGGAUGUGCACCUUUUAGCAUUGCUGCAAUUCCAGCUACAUGAGGGGCAGCCAUGGAUGUGCCUGAUUUAAGUUCGUAAUCACUGGAUAGUUCUAAGUUCGUCUGAAUACUUUGUGAAAAGAGAUUAGGUGGAAAUGCUGCAAGAAUCAGUACCCCUGGUGCCAUAAUAUCUGGCUUUGCGAUUCCCAAGUAGCUUCUGGAGGGCCCUCGUGCUGAGCUUCCAGCAAGAACUGGGGCAGGCCUACCAUCCACAUAAGUUUCUUGGAACGUGAUUGUAGCCGUUGGAGAAACACUGUUUUUUACGUAAUUGAUGAUUUGUUUCCCUUCCUUUUUGUCAACCACAACGCCUGGGUAGGGAAAUGAAGAAGA